GUGACCUCAAAUCAGGUAGGACUACCCGCUGAACUUAAGCAUAUCAAUAAGCGGAGGAAAAGAAACUAACAAGGAUUCCCCUAGUAACUGCGAGUGAAGCGGGAAAAGCUCAAAUUUAAAAUCUGUCAGUCUUUGGCUGUCCGAGUUGUAAUCUAGAGAAGCGUUAUCCGCGCUGGACCGUGUACAAGUCUCCUGGAAUGGAGCGUCAUAGAGGGUGAGAAUCCCGUCUUUGACACGGACUGCCAGUGCUUUGUGAUGCGCUCUCAAAGAGUCGAGUUGUUUGGGAAUGCAGCUCAAAAUGGGUGGUAAAUUCCAUCUAAAGCUAAAUAUUGGCGAGAGACCGAUAGCGAACAAGUACCGUGAGGGAAAGAUGAAAAGAACUUUGGAAAGAGAGUUAAACAGUACGUGAAAUUGCUGAAAGGGAAACGCUUGAAGUCAGUCGCGUUGUCCAGGGAUCAACCUUGCUUCUGCUUGGUGUACUUUCUGGUUGACGGGUCAGCAUCAAUUUUGACCAUUGGAAAAAGAUUAAGGGAAUGUGGCAUCCUUGGAUGUGUUAUAGCCUUUGGUUGCAUACAAUGGUUGGGAUUGAGGAACUCAGCACGCCGCAAGGCCGGGUUUUUAACCACGUACGUGCUUAGGAUGCUGGCAUAAUGGCUUUAAUCGACCCGUCUUGAAACACGGACCAAGGAGUCUAACAUGCCUGCGAGUGUUUGGGUGGAAAACCCGAGCGCGUAAUGAAAGUGAAAGUUGAGAUCCUUGUCAUGGGGAGCAUCGACGCCCGGACCAGACCUUUUGUGACGGUUCCGCGGUAGAGCAUGUAUGUUGGGACCCGAAAGAUGGUGAACUAUGCCUGAAUAGGGUGAAGCCAGAGGAAACUCUGGUGGAGGCUCGUAGCGAUUCUGACGUGCAAAUCGAUCGUCAAAUUUGGGUAUAGGGGCGAAAGACUAAUCGAACCAUCUAGUAGCUGGUUCCUGCCGA
This 978-nucleotide ribosomal RNA is filed under the name Cortinarius vitreopileatus. RNAcentral's name for it is "eukaryotic LSU rRNA". It matches the Rfam family "Eukaryotic large subunit ribosomal RNA", at positions 1 to 964 of the family's 3401-position model. Lineage: Eukaryota; Fungi; Basidiomycota; Agaricomycetes; Agaricales; Cortinariaceae. The record is from RNAcentral.